Non-coding RNA from Salvelinus sp. IW2-2015, 397 nucleotides. NCBI's taxonomy places the organism in Eukaryota, Metazoa, Chordata, Actinopteri, Salmoniformes, Salmonidae. The record is from RefSeq and is a predicted model, not a curated record.
CAUUUAUUUUUCCCAUCUCUUCUUGCUAGCAACGCCUCCAGUCAGGACGCUUUCGGCGGGUUCCGUUAAAAUGGCUGUUACUGAGAGUGGAAACCCAAAGCAAGAACAAUCGUAGUGGGUACAACUGCACCCAGUAGUAUCGCUGGUGUUUCAUAAGGAAAAUAAAAGACUGCAACGCAAUGGCUGCCCUAGAUCAAAAGUCCCCCAACGUCCUCCUUCAAAGUCUCUGCUGCAGGAUCACUGGGAAGAGCGAAGCUGAAGUAGCCCACCAGUUCCAGUAUGCUGUGAGAGUCGUCGGGAGUAACUAUGCUCCCACCAUUGAGAGGGAUGAGUUCCUAGUGUCAGAGAAGAUCAAAAAAGAACUGCUGAAGCAGAGGAGAGAGAGUGACGCAGCCCG